RNAcentral lists this ribosomal RNA (254 nucleotides) under uncultured bacterium. Its description in RNAcentral is "partial 16S ribosomal RNA". It matches the Rfam family "Bacterial small subunit ribosomal RNA", at positions 524 to 776 of the family's 1533-position model. The record is from RNAcentral.
CACGUAGGGGCCAAGCGUUGUCCGGAUUUAUUGGGCGUAAAGAGCUCGUAGGCGGUUCGACAAGUCGGGUGUGAAAACUCCGGGCUCAACCCGGAGACGCCACCCGAUACUGUCGUGACUGGAGUCCGGUAGGGGAGUGGGGAAUUCCUGGUGUAGCGGUGAAAUGCGCAGAUAUCAGGAGGAACACCGGUGGCGAAGGCGGCUCUCUGGACCGGUACUGACGCUAAAGCGCGAAAGCGUGGGUAGCAAACAGG